Molecule: transfer RNA, 75 nt
Filed under: Dehalococcoidia bacterium
Lineage: Bacteria; Bacillati; Chloroflexota; Dehalococcoidia
Description: tRNA-Gly
Rfam family: tRNA
About the family: Transfer RNA (tRNA) molecules are approximately 80 nucleotides in length. Their secondary structure includes four short double-helical elements and three loops (D, anti-codon, and T loops). Further hydrogen bonds mediate the characteristic L-shaped molecular structure. tRNAs have two regions of fundamental functional importance: the anti-codon, which is responsible for specific mRNA codon recognition, and the 3' end, to which the tRNAs corresponding amino acid is attached (by aminoacyl-tRNA synthetases). tRNAs cope with the degeneracy of the genetic code in two manners: having more than one tRNA (with a specific anti-codon) for a particular amino acid; and 'wobble' base-pairing, i.e. permitting non-standard base-pairing at the 3rd anti-codon position.
Source: RNAcentral
GCGGGCGUAGUGCAGUGGUAGCACGUCUGCUUCCCAAGCAGAAGCUCGUGGGUUCGAAUCCCAUCGCCCGCUCCA